This is a long non-coding RNA of Schistocerca nitens (vagrant locust), 384 nucleotides long. RefSeq lists it as uncharacterized. The transcript is spliced from 3 exons. The record is from RefSeq and is a predicted model, not a curated record. Lineage: Eukaryota; Metazoa; Arthropoda; Insecta; Orthoptera; Acrididae.
CACAAAUGUAUAAACAAUGCUGACAAUUUUUGCUACAUUUGCAGACAGGCUACAUUGAAGGACAAUAAUGCCAUGGAUUAGGAAGGCAUUCAGAGUGUGCUUUGGCUGUGAAAUCAGGGACCAGGACAAGACCUAGACUCCUCAUGUACGAGGGACAGUGUGGAAGAGGUGAAGUGGAAGUAAGGUGUAAGCCAGUGUCAACAUGUCAGAAGCUAGUCAGAGGAUCCUCAUAAAUGAAUUAACAUGUUGAGGGCGUGAUCGAAUCAUCUUGUGUAAAUGUGAAAUUGUGAAGAGUGACCAUGGAUGAAGGUCCUGCAAGGUCAUCAAAGCCACAGUGUGAAUGAAGAGGAAUGAAAAAUUCUUAGCAACUGAAGAUGAGCUAAC